Molecule: long non-coding RNA, 234 nt
Filed under: Nicotiana benthamiana
Lineage: Eukaryota; Viridiplantae; Streptophyta; Magnoliopsida; Solanales; Solanaceae
Description: long non-coding RNA (NBEN_LNC001166)
Source: RNAcentral
ACCUAGGGUUUUCACUGCUAUUUGAAGGCCGAUCUUCUUCCGGUAGCGAAGAAGGAGGGUAAUUUUGGUUUAAAAAUUGUGCAUCUGGUUUGUGUAUAUCGAUUUUGGUUUUACCUUUGAAUAUUUGGUUUUGUGUGUGGCUAAUUGAUUUGUUACAUUCUGGUUGCUGAUUCUGUUCUUCAUUGAUUUUGUUCUUCCUUGUUGAUACAUCAUGGCUGCUAACACCAAUACUAG